CCUACGGUGGCAGCAGUGGGGAAUAUUGGACAAUGGGCGAAAGCCUGAUCCAGCCAUGCCGCGUGUGUGAAGAAGGCCUUCGGGUUGUAAAGCACUUUCAGUGGGGAAGAAAGCCUUGGGGCUAAUACCCUCGAGGAAGGACAUCACCCACAGAAGAAGCACCGGCUAACUCCGUGCCAGCAGCCGCGGUAAUACGGAGGGUGCGAGCGUUAAUCGGAAUUACUGGGCGUAAAGCGCGCGUAGGCGGUCUGAUAAGCCGGUUGUGAAAGCCCCGGGCUCAACCUGGGAACGGCAUCCGGAACUGUCAGGCUAGAGUGCAGGAGAGGAAGGUAGAAUUCCCGGUGUAGCGGUGAAAUGCGUAGAGAUCGGGAGGAAUACCAGUGGCGAAGGCGGCCUUCUGGACUGACACUGACGCUGAGGUGCGAAAGCGUGGGUAGCAAACAGGAUUAGAUACCCUAGUAUC
This 463-nucleotide ribosomal RNA is filed under the name Vreelandella stevensii. Its description in RNAcentral is "partial 16S ribosomal RNA". It matches the Rfam family "Bacterial small subunit ribosomal RNA", at positions 338 to 794 of the family's 1533-position model. Lineage: Bacteria; Pseudomonadati; Pseudomonadota; Gammaproteobacteria; Oceanospirillales; Halomonadaceae. The record is from RNAcentral.